CCUACGGGGGGCAGCAGUGGGGAAUAUUGCACAAUGGGGGAAACCCUGAUGCAGCGACGCCGCGUGAGUGAUGAAGUAUUUCGGUAUGUACAGCUCUAUCAGCAGGGAAGAAAAUGACGGUACCUGACUAAGAAGCCCCGGCUAACUACGUGCCAGCAGCCGCGGUAAUACGUAGGGGGCAAGCGUUAUCCGGAUUUACUGGGUGUAAAGGGAGCGUAGACGGCAGUGCAAGUCUGAUGUGAAAGGCCGGGGCUUAACCCCGGGACUGCAGUGGACACUGUGUGGCUGGAGUGUAGGAGAGGCAGGUGGAAUUCCUAGUGUAGCGGUGAAAUGCGUAGAUAUUAGGAGGAACACCAGUGGCGAAGGCGGCUUACUGGACUGUAACUGACGUUGAGGCUCGAAAGCGUGGGGAGCAAACAGGAUUAGAUACCCGAGUAGUC
Molecule: ribosomal RNA, 440 nt
Filed under: uncultured bacterium
Lineage: Bacteria
Description: partial 16S ribosomal RNA
Rfam family: Bacterial small subunit ribosomal RNA
Source: RNAcentral